AUGGGUGAUAUAAACAAGAGGAAGAAAUUAGCGCAAGAGAGUUGUAAUUUUGGAAUCUCAGACCUCCCGGAUGAUAUGCUUGAGCACAUAGUAUCCUUCCUAUCAUUGAAUGAGGCCGUGAGGACUUGUGUUCUUUCCAAGAAUUGGAGCUACAUAUGGAAAUUUGUGCCUACCCUACGUAUUUCUGAUACAAUCGAUAAAUGUAACAACUUAAUAGACAAUUUUUUGCGUGGCCGUGGAAACACCGCAAUCAUUGUUUGUGAUAUCGAGUUGACUAAUCUCGAGAAGGUAGAAAUGCAUGACAUGAUAGACACAUGGAUCUUUCAUAUCGUGAAUCUUUGCCAUGUUCAGGAGCUCAGAGUCAUUAGCUGUAUAGAGGAUGAUUUCCUACAGUUCAGGGAUCAAGCUCUCAUCUCCAAGCACUUGAAGAGGUUAGAGCUUGAUAAGGUUUGCUUAAAAGCUAGCACUAUUGAUUUCUCAAGCUGCCCUGCAUUGGAAGAAAUAGAUCUGAUGUUUUGUUGGAUUGAAGCAAAUUACAUUAUAUCAAAGUCAUUAAAGCGCCUGAUUGCAGUGGAAUGUGAAUUUGAUAGUGGGUGCACGCACUCACAUUUCUGUCCCCAACCUCAUCUUUCUUAA
Molecule: ribosomal RNA, 636 nt
Filed under: Triticum aestivum (bread wheat)
Lineage: Eukaryota; Viridiplantae; Streptophyta; Magnoliopsida; Poales; Poaceae
Description: partial small subunit ribosomal RNA
Source: RNAcentral